CGUACUCAGUGGUCAGGAUGAUUAUUGGGCCUAAAGCAUCCGUAGCCGGCUCUGUAAGUUUUCGGUUAAAUCUAUGCGCUCAACGUAUGGGCUGCCGAAAAUACUGCAGAGAUAGGGAGUGGGAGAGGUAGACGGUACUCGGUAGGAAGGGGUAAAAUCCUUUGAUCUAUCGAUGACCACCUGUGGCGAAGGCGGUCUACCAGAACACGUUCGACGGUGAGGGAUGAAAGCUGGGGGAGCAAACCGGAUUAGAUACCCGGGUAGUCCCAGCUGUAAACGAUGCAGACUCGAUGAUGCAUUGGCAUAUAGCCAGUGCAGUGUCGCAGGGAAGCCGUUAAGUCUGCCGCCUGGGAAGUACGUACGCAAGUAUGAAACUAAAGAAGUUGGCGGGGGAGCACGGUCAUACUU
RNAcentral lists this ribosomal RNA (408 nucleotides) under crenarchaeote SCGC AAA288-D04. RNAcentral's name for it is "SSU rRNA". It matches the Rfam family "Archaeal small subunit ribosomal RNA", at positions 480 to 889 of the family's 1478-position model. The record is from RNAcentral. Lineage: Archaea; Thermoproteati; Thermoproteota.